UGGGCGCAAGCCUGAUGCAGCCAUGCCGCGUGUGUGAAGAAGGCCUUCGGGUUGUAAAGCACUUUCAGUCAGGAGGAAAGGUUAGUAGUUAAUACCUGCUAGCUGUGACGUUACUGACAGAAGAAGCACCGGCUAACUCCGUGCCAGCAGCCGCGGUAAUACGGAGGGUGCGAGCGUUAAUCGGAAUUACUGGGCGUAAAGCGUACGCAGGCGGUUUGUUAAGCGAGAUGUGAAAGCCCCGGGCUUAACCUGGGAACUGCAUUUCGAACUGGCAAACUAGAGUGUGAUAGAGGGUGGUAGAAUUUCAGGUGUAGCGGUGAAAUGCGUAGAGAUCUGAAGGAAUACCGAUGGCGAAGGCAGCCACCUGGGUCAACACUGACGCUCAUGUACGAAAGCGUGGGGAGCAAACAGGAUUAGAUACCCUGGUAGUCCACGCCGUAAACGAUGUCUACUAGGAGCUGGGGUCUUCGGACAACUUUUCCAAAGCUAACGCAUUAAGUAGACCGCCUG
This 510-nucleotide ribosomal RNA is filed under the name Pseudoalteromonas sp. SF0916-11. RNAcentral describes it as "bacterial SSU rRNA". It matches the Rfam family "Bacterial small subunit ribosomal RNA", at positions 372 to 875 of the family's 1533-position model. Lineage: Bacteria; Pseudomonadati; Pseudomonadota; Gammaproteobacteria; Alteromonadales; Pseudoalteromonadaceae. The record is from RNAcentral.